GGUCCAGUAGUGUAGAGGUUAUCACAUGGGAUUCUGAUAGCUGAUUUCCCAUAACCCAGGUUCGAGUCCUGGUUGGACCU
Lentinula aff. detonsa is the source of this 80-nucleotide non-coding RNA. NCBI's taxonomy places the organism in Eukaryota, Fungi, Basidiomycota, Agaricomycetes, Agaricales, Omphalotaceae. The record is from the annotation of a GenBank genome assembly.